RNAcentral lists this ribosomal RNA (215 nucleotides) under uncultured bacterium. RNAcentral describes it as "partial 16S ribosomal RNA". It matches the Rfam family "Bacterial small subunit ribosomal RNA", at positions 1287 to 1500 of the family's 1533-position model. The record is from RNAcentral.
CUCAGUUCGGAUUGUAGGCUGAAACUCGCCUACAUGAAGUCGGAAUCGCUAGUAAUCGCGGAUCAGCACGCCGCGGUGAAUACGUUCCCGGGCCUUGUACACACCGCCCGUCACACCAUGGGAGUCGGUAACACCCGAAGCCUGUAGUCUAACCGCAAGGAGGACGCAGUCGAAGGUGGGGAUUGAUGACUGGGGCGAAGUCGUAACAAGGUACC